This 326-nucleotide ribosomal RNA is filed under the name uncultured eukaryote. Its description in RNAcentral is "partial 18S ribosomal RNA". It matches the Rfam family "Eukaryotic small subunit ribosomal RNA", at positions 1470 to 1796 of the family's 1831-position model. The record is from RNAcentral.
CCCCUAGAUGUUCUGGGCCGCACGCGCGCUACACUGAACAGUUCAACAAGUCUUAACCUUGGCCGAUAGGUCUGGGUAAUCUCCAAAUUUCGUCGUGAUGGGGAUAGAUUAUUGCAAUUAUUAAUCUUCAACGAGGAAUGCCUAGUAAGCGCAAGUCAUCAGCUUGCGUUGAUUACGUCCCUGCCCUUUGUACACACCGCCCGUCGCUCCUACCGAUUGAAUGGUCCGGUGAAGCGCUCGGACCGCGGCCUCUUGACGGUUUUCCGUCGAUUGGCUGUGGGAAGUUCGUUAAACCUUAUCAUUUAGAGGAAGGAGAAGUCGUAACA